Molecule: long non-coding RNA, 655 nt
Filed under: Equus caballus (horse)
Lineage: Eukaryota; Metazoa; Chordata; Mammalia; Perissodactyla; Equidae
Description: lncRNA (ENSECAG00000046481.1)
Source: RNAcentral
GUCUGCAUUGCGCACACCAAGGAAAGGCCAUGUGAACGCACAGAGAUAAGUUGGCUGUCAGCAUGCCAGGAAGAGAGCUCUCACCAGGAACCAAAUCGGCCCACACCUUGACCUUGGACUUCCCAGCCUCCAGCCUCUAGCACUUGUUAGAAGGCCUGGAACACUGGUAUCCCCAGAGACGGGAAAGUCUAGACAGCCCCACAGAGCUGCAUGCCACCCUGACACCAAGGUCUCUCUGCCUUUUGUUAUCCUCUGAUCUGCCCCACGCUCAACCCCAGUUCAGGAGAUGCAAUCACCAACCUCCCAGGAGCAGACCAAGCCUCACCAGAGAGCUUCGCCUAUGACCUUUGCCUUAUGUUUAAUGCUAAGAUAUCUCCAGGAGGAGCUUGGGCCUUCUUACCGAAACCUGCAGUGUAUGCGGAAGCAUGUUUUUCAUCUGAGCCUCUGCGAGCGAACACCACCUGUUCCUCUUGAAUAUUCAUUCCCCAUCUGAAAUAAAAGGUCCCUGCUUCUCUUCGCUCAGGGACGCCAUGACUUUGGAAAUGAUUCCGCAUGGCCUCCUAUUUGCCGCAAAUAUACUUUACUUUGUGAGACAACUGCUUCUGGGUUGAGAGUCUGAUUUAACUCACCAGGACGGAACCCACUUUGGUUUCAG